RNAcentral lists this ribosomal RNA (375 nucleotides) under Protoelongata dekkersi. RNAcentral's name for it is "partial 12S ribosomal RNA". It matches the Rfam family "Bacterial small subunit ribosomal RNA", at positions 875 to 1384 of the family's 1533-position model. Lineage: Eukaryota; Metazoa; Mollusca; Gastropoda; Neogastropoda; Costellariidae. The record is from RNAcentral.
UCUUGGAAAUAAAAAGAAGAAAUCUACCAGAGUACUACGAAUUCAAAAAUUUAAAACUCAAAGAGCUUGGCGGUGCUUUUAGACCUUUCAGGGGAACCUGUCUUUUAAUCGACAAUCCACGUUAAACCUAACCUUUUUUUGUAUAACAGUUUGUAUACCGUCGUCGUCAGGUAACUUUUAAAAAUUUAGUAGUUAGCGAAAAAAUUUAAUAAUAAAUUUAAACGUCAGAUCAUGGUGCAAUUAAUGGAAAGGUUAAGAUGGGUUACAAUUAUAUAUUAAUAAUAAUACGAAUAAUUAAUUGAAACAUUAAUUUGAAGGAGGACUUGAAAGUAAAAAUAUUUAUAUAUAUAACUUGAAUAAGGCUCUGAAGCGUGC